RNAcentral lists this ribosomal RNA (497 nucleotides) under uncultured bacterium. RNAcentral's name for it is "partial 16S ribosomal RNA". It matches the Rfam family "Bacterial small subunit ribosomal RNA", at positions 28 to 507 of the family's 1533-position model. The record is from RNAcentral.
GACGAACGCUGGCGGCGUGCCUAAUACAUGCAAGUUGAGCGCUGAAGGUUGGUACUUGUACCAACUGGAUGAGCAGCGAACGGGUGAGUAACGCGUGGGGAAUCUGCCUUUGGGCGGGGGACAACAUUUGGAAACGAAUGCUAAUACCGCAUAAAAACUUUAAACACAAGUUUUAAGUUUGAAAGAUGCAAUUGCAUCACUCAAAGAUGAUCCCGCGUUGUAUUAGCUAGUUGGUGAGGUAAAGGCUCACCAAGGCGAUGAUACAUAGCCGACCUGAGAGGGUGAUCGGCCACAUUGGGACUGGGACACGGCCCAAACUCCUACGGGAGGCAGCAGUAGGGAAUCUUCGGCAAUGGACGAAAGUCUGACCGAGCAACGCCGCGUGAGUGAAGAAGGUUUUCGGAUCGUAAAACUCUGUUGGUAGAGAAGAACGUUGGUGAGAGUGGAAAGCUCAUCAAGUGACGGUAACUACCCAGAAAGGGACGGCUAACUACGUG